Molecule: long non-coding RNA, 2522 nt
Organism: Oncorhynchus tshawytscha (Chinook salmon)
Lineage: Eukaryota; Metazoa; Chordata; Actinopteri; Salmoniformes; Salmonidae
Source: Ensembl
GAGAGAGAGAGAGAGAGAGAGAGAGAGAAGGAGUCUCUGGGAUGGAUGAGGCUAAUAUUUCAGGAGAGACAGAGGGAGAAGGAGUCUCUGGGAUGGAUAAGGCUAAUAUUUCAGGAGAGACAGAGGGAGAAGGAGUCUCUGGGAUGGAUAAGGCUAAUAUUUCAGGAGAGACAGAAGGGGUAUCUGGGAUGGAUGAGGCUAAUAUUUCAGGAGAGACGGAGUAGGGGUAUCAGGGAUGGAUGAGGCUAAUAUUUCAGGAGAGACGGAGAAGGGGUAUCUGGGAUGGAUGAGGCUAAUAUUUCAGGAGACAGAAGGAGAAGGGGUCUCUGGGAUGGCCCCUGGAUGAGUCUGAAGGGAAGUGUGUAUCACUUUCUCAUAAACUGUUCUAACUCACCACUCAGCCUGUUCCCACUGGAGGCUACAGCAGUCAGUAAUAAUGCUCUAAGUUGUACACACACUCUGUGAAGAACCGCUUGGUCUCUGGUUCACUCAACCACAAACAUGAUGAUGACUCCCACAGUUAGACAGAGUACGAGUGCAGUUUCGUGUAUGACUAAAAAUGAAUAUUCUCUCCAUGGUGCCCUCCUACACACGCACGGACACGCACGGACACGCACGGACACGCACGGACACGCACACGCACGCACGGACACGCACGGACACGCACGGACACGCACGGACACGCACGGACACGCACGGACACGCACGGACACGCACGGACACGCCACACGCACGGACACGCACGGACACAAAUAUAUACACACACACCGACUAACGUCUUUAAAAACACAGGUCACUGUUUUCAUGAGGUUAUUGAUGUCAUUCUGUAAAAAGUGUCAGUGAACUUCUCCAGGAAACCUGGCAAGUAGUUUUCCUGGUGUGAUGUCACCACCUUGGUCUGUGUUCACGGUUCCCAUUAGUUUUCCUGGUGUGAUGUCACCACCUUGGUCUGUGUUCACGGUUCCCAUUCGUUUUCCUGGUGUGAUGUCACCACCUUGGUCUGUGUUCACGGUUCCCAUUAGUUUUCCUGGUGUGAUGUCGCCACCUAGUGGUCUUGUGUAUUAUUAGCUUCUAACCAGUACAACAAGAGGAGGAUGCAGUUAGGCAUUUAUUGUCAUGAAUCUUGCCCUGGAGGCAGCUUGCAGAGUGGUCACUAGCUGGCACAGCCAUAAAGUCAGAAAAUAUACAUUUGAACCUAACCUUAAGCACACUGCUAACCCUAAUGACUAAUCCCAAACUUAAAUGAAGACCAAAAAGCAAAUGUUUGUUUUCAUGAAUUUUUACAAUACAGCCUAUUUUGACUUUGCAGCUGGCCCAUGUAAUGAAAAUCACACAGUUCUACCUCCAGGGCAAGAUUAAUGACAAUAAACGUCAACCUGCGAGAAGGAUGGGCCUCCUCCCGUAUGAGGGAGAUCGCGUCCUCUCUCUCCUCGUCUCCUUCUCAAAAACACAUUGGAAAAAAGCUAGAGGUCCUUCCCCUCUGAUCUUCUCCUCCGGUGGGUUUUGAGACGAGGAGAUAUUAAGUUUCUCCAUGACUCUUGUUUCUCUCAAGGUUUCUUCCUUCGAAGGAGAUGUUGACUUGCCACUCUACUGCUGCUUGCAUAGGGAUCUAGAACGGCUUACGGUAAAAGCACUUUGUGACUGAUGAUAUAGAAAGGGAUUUAUGGAUAGAAUUUGAUUUGUUUAGCAGCAGGUAAGGAUGAGACGUAAAAAACAUGUAAAAUCCACAUAGAUCACAAUGAUACACCAUGACAACAACACAAUGAUACACCAUGACAACAACACAAUGAUACACCAUGACAACAACACAAUGAUACACCAUGACAACAACACAAUGAUACACCAUGACAACAACACAAUGAUACACCAUGACAACAACACAAUGAUACACCAUGACAACAACACAAUGAUACACCAUGACAACAACACAAUGAUACGCCAUGACAACAACACAAUGAUACACCAUGACAACAACACAAUGAUACACAAAGACAACAACACAAUGAUACACCAUGACAACAACACAAUGAUACACCAUGACAACAACACAAUGAUACACCAUGACAACAACACAAUGAUACACCAUGACAACAACACAAUGAUACGCCAUGACAACAACACAAUGAUACACCAGAACAACAACACAAUGAUACACAAAGACAACAACACAAUGAUACGCCAUGACAACAACACAAUGAUACACCAUGACAACAACACAAUGAUACACCAUGACAACAACACAAUGAUACACCAUGACAACAACACAAUGAUACACCAUGACAACAACACAAUGAUACGCCAUGACAACAACACAAUGAUACACCAGAACAACAACACAAUGAUACACAAAGACAACAACACAAUGAUACACCAUGACAACAACACAAUGAUACACCAGAACAACAACACAAUGAUACACCAUGACAACAACACAAUGAUACACACUGACAACAACACAAUGAUUCACCAGGACAACAACACCAUGACAAUAACACAAUAAUACACACUGACAACAACACAAU